AGGGCCAAAGCUCAGGGGUGGAGCAUUGGCUUUGCAUGAGAAAGGCUCCAGGUUCAAUCCCCGGUGACCCCA
Non-coding RNA from Podarcis lilfordi (Lilford's wall lizard), 72 nucleotides. NCBI's taxonomy places the organism in Eukaryota, Metazoa, Chordata, Lepidosauria, Squamata, Lacertidae. The record is from the annotation of a GenBank genome assembly.